AUUUUCUGCAUACUUAAGCUUUAUUCAUAAAAGAAACAUUGUUUUGUUUUGCUUUUUCUUAGGCUUAUUCAUAGUUCAAAGAUAAAUUUUAGAAGGACAAAAAAAAUCUCCAAGAAGGACAGUGAACCACUCUGAACCUUGGAUUCCAGAACAACAGAAGCCACAGCUGCAGCCUAUGGUUCAAGCUUAAGUAGAACUUUUUAUCUUUGGAGAACUACAGAAGAAGAAUUUCAGCACUUUUUUUUAUUCUCUUUGGACUAUAACAAAGAAUCUGAGGAAAAAGGAAAGGCAGGGAAGGUGGAUACUUACAUGACUGGAUACAACGAUGGAAUCAGUUACUGGCAUUUUGAUGGUAAUUCCUGUUAUGGGGAGGCAUCAGCAGGUACUGGCUAUUUAUAUUUACCUAUUGAAGUUUUAGGAGUAAAAAUACUGUAAACUUUGCUUGUUAUUUGGCAUACUUCCAAUUUGCAGGUACCUGAAUUAUUUAGAACUAUUCAUUUCCAAGAUAAAUUUUACCCUUUCAAAAAUUACAACAAAGAACAAAAGGCUACAUCAAAUGUUCCUGGUGGGGUCUGGUACUUUUGAAACAGGUGGAUGAUGCUAUUUUUGUGCAAUUUUAAGCUGUACAAUACAACAUCAACAGUGUAAAAUAGUUUUGUGUUAUAAGACUAAUCAUCACUAUUCCAGUAAAUGAAAAAUAUAUGUUGCUUAUUUGUAGAGUAGUUGGGAAUUAAAGAAAACUGAAAACAUUUUGUGCAUAUUCCCUAUAAUGAACAGCUAUGUCUGAGACAUUGACAAAGAGAGG
Molecule: long non-coding RNA, 805 nt
Filed under: Cyanistes caeruleus (blue tit)
Lineage: Eukaryota; Metazoa; Chordata; Aves; Passeriformes; Paridae
Description: lncRNA (ENSCCEG00000000166.1)
Source: RNAcentral